This is a long non-coding RNA of Naja naja (Indian cobra), 379 nucleotides long. The record is from Ensembl. NCBI's taxonomy places the organism in Eukaryota, Metazoa, Chordata, Lepidosauria, Squamata, Elapidae.
GAGCAGUUUGAUGUGCCUCAGCUGUUUUAUUCACAGGGACUGCAGUAGAAGGUCUACUUUGAAGGGAAGCCCCAUUGAAGAUGCAGAAGGAUUCAGAUUCAUGUUGGUUCCAUUUAGAAUCCAAUUUGGAUAUCUCUCAAAUCAACAUACCACAGGGAGCACCUUCCUGAAGAUAUCAGUGUAGAUCAGGGGUGAGCAAUUAUGGCAACUUCAAAACAACCUGUGGACUUCAACUCCCAGAAUUCCUGAGCCACCCAUAAAUACACACCAGUUGUCAAGCAUCCAAAUUUGGAUCAUGUGACCAUGUGGAUGCUGCAACAGUUGUAAGAAUAAAAAACUGUCAUAAGUCACUUUUUUCAUGGAUGUUGUAACUUUGAAC